UACAGAGGGUGCAAGCGUUAAUCGGGAUUCCUGGGCGUAAAGCGUGCGUAGACGGUUAUGUAAGUCGGGUGUGAAAGCCCCGGGCUCAACCUGGGAAUGCCAUUCGAGACUGCAUAGCUAGGGUGCGGAAGAGGGAAGCGGAAUUUCCGGUGUAGCGGUGAAAUGCGUAGAUAUCGGAAGGAACACCAGUGGCGAAAGCGGCUUCCUGGUCCAGCACCGACGUUCAGGCACGAAAGCGUGGGGAGCAAACAGG
This 253-nucleotide ribosomal RNA is filed under the name uncultured bacterium. RNAcentral's name for it is "partial 16S ribosomal RNA". It matches the Rfam family "Bacterial small subunit ribosomal RNA", at positions 524 to 776 of the family's 1533-position model. The record is from RNAcentral.